This 446-nucleotide ribosomal RNA is filed under the name uncultured bacterium. RNAcentral describes it as "bacterial SSU rRNA". It matches the Rfam family "Bacterial small subunit ribosomal RNA", at positions 329 to 792 of the family's 1533-position model. The record is from RNAcentral.
GCCCAGACUCCUACGGGAGGCAGCAGUGGGGAAUAUUGCACAAUGGGGGAAACCCUGAUGCAGCGACGCCGCGUGAGCGAUGAAGUAUUUCGGUAUGUAAAGCUCUAUCAGCAGGGAAGAAAAUGACGGUACCUGACUAGGAAGCCCCGGCUAACUACGUGCCAGCAGCCGCGGUAAUACGUAGGGGGCAAGCGUUAUCCGGAUUUACUGGGUGUAAAGGGAGCGUAGACGGCAAUGCAAGCCAGAUGUGAAAGCCCGGGGCUCAACCCCGGGACUGCAUUUGGAACUGUGUAGCUGGAGUGUCGGAGAGGCAGGCGGAAUUCCUAGUGUAGCGGUGAAAUGCGUAGAUAUUAGGAGGAACACCAGUGGCGAAGGCGGCCUGCUGGACGAUGACUGACGUUGAGGCUCGAAAGCGUGGGGAGCAAACAGGAUUAGAUACCCUGGUA